RNAcentral lists this ribosomal RNA (892 nucleotides) under uncultured archaeon. RNAcentral describes it as "bacterial SSU rRNA". It matches the Rfam family "Archaeal small subunit ribosomal RNA", at positions 1 to 900 of the family's 1478-position model. The record is from RNAcentral.
UUCUGGUUGAUCCUGCCAGACCUGACUGCUAUCGGAUUGAUACUAAGCCAUGCGAGUCGUUGUAGCAAUACAAGGCAUACGGCUCAGUAACGCGUAGUCAACCUAACCUAUGGACGGGAAUAACCUCGGGAAACUGAGAAUAAUGCCCGAUAGAACAUUAUGCCUGGAAUGGUUUAUGUUCCAAAUGAUUUAUCGCCAUAGGAUGGGACUGCGGCCUAUCAGUUUGUUGGUGAGGUAAUGGCCCACCAAGACUAUUACAGGUACGGGCUCUGAGAGGAGUAGCCCGGAGAUGGGUACUGAGACACGGACCCAGGCCCUAUGGGGCGCAGCAGGCGAGAAAACUUUGCAAUGUGCGAAAGCACGACAAGGUUAAUCCGAGUGAUUUCUGCUAAAGAGAUCUUUUGUUAGUCCUAGAAACACUAACGAAUAAGGGGUGGGCAAGUUCUGGUGUCAGCCGCCGCGGUAAAACCAGCACCUCAAGUGGUCAGGAUGAUUAUUGGGCCUAAAGCAUCCGUAGCCGGCUCUGUAAGUUUUCGGUUAAAUCUGUACGCUCAACGUACGGGCUGCCGGAAAUACUGCAGAACUAGGGAGUGGGAGAGGUAGACGGUACUCGGUAGGAAGUGGUAAAAUGCUUUGAUCUAUCGAUGACCACCUGUGGCGAAGGCGGUCUACCAGAACACGUCCGACGGUGAGGGAUGAAAGCUGGGGGAGCAAACCGGAUUAGAUACCCGGGUAGUCCCAGCUGUAAACUAUGCAAACUCAGUGAUGCAUUGGCUUGUGGCCAAUGCAGUGCUGCAGGGAAGCCGUUAAGUUUGCCGCCUGGGAAGUACGUACGCAAGUAUGAAACUUAAAGGAAUUGGCGGGGGAGCACCACAAGGGGUGAAGCCUGCGG